CUCUCACACAUGCCCUCCCUCGAUGGCCCCCAGCUCUUGUAGGACAAGCCCUCAUGGCAGAGCUAGAUGGCACCCUAGGGGCCAUACAGGUGUGUGCACUCCUUGCCUUGCAGAUGAGGAAGCUGAGCCCAGAGGAGGGGCUGACAUGGCUGAGUGGCUAGGUGGGAUCUGGAGCCUAGUGUCCUUGCCGUCUGGACUCCUCCCAGCAUAUCAUGCUGUGUCCUACUAAGGCUCCCAAAAUGGGGACAAACUUUUCAUCUUUCAGCUUCUCCCAGUGCACCUUGUUGCUGCCUAAGCCCUGACUCUCUGCUUAGGUUUCAAAAAAUGAGACAACUCAUGAGAGAAAAGAAAAUGGUCAGAUCCAUACUGUAUGGAAAAAUAUCUCUUUAUGUGUGUCAUCUCCUCGUUAGACUCCCAACAAAGCCUAUGCCAGCCUCUGUCUUACAGAGGAACAAACAGAGGCCAGGAGGUUACGUGGCUCAUCCAAGGCUAGACAGCAUUAAAAUGUGGUGGCACCAAGCGUCAACCUGGACCAGGCGUCAAAACUCAAGCUGUUCUACUUUUACCUUCACCUAAUCAUGUACAGUGAUUAUUCAUAUUGCAAACUCACAGUUUUAGUCUUACUGGAGGGGUGACACCUGGAUUACGGGACAACUACCACAGUAGAAGAGAUGAAAUUGCCCUUAAAAAUCUCCAGUCUGAUGUUACAGAGGCGAAAUCUGACUUCACCAAGGAGACCUUGGCAUCACAAAACACAAAAAUGAUUUCAUCCAUAGUCAUCUCCCAGAUGAUUGAUGAGAAUAAGUCAAGAGAAAACAGGGUCUCCUUGCCCCUACCGUGUGCGAUUGCUCAGUCUCGUGCAUACCACGCCAAGCAAUCUCUGGCUAACCGCAGCGGAGUCAACAUUCACAGAGCAUUUGCGUUACUUCCGGGCAGAUUAGGAAUCCCAGCACCCUCAGAUGAGCGAGGACCUGAGACAGAGCUGCCGCCCAAAGAGAAGAGCCCCUGUGGGGGGCCCCACAGAGGGUUUGCAUCCAUCACCAUCACGGCCAGACGCGUGGGCCCCCCAGCCCGCGCCCUGGUGUGGGGGACUGUUGGGGACUCUCUGUGCCCCAAGUGCAGGGCUGAGGACACACUGUUCCAGGCACCCCCGGCUCUGGCCAAUGGCGCCCAUCCAGGUCGGCAUCAGAGAUCUUUUGCCUGCACAGAGUUCUCCAGAAACAGCUCCGUGGUGCGGCUGAAGGUUCCCGAGGCCCACAUAGGGUUGUGUGAGAGACGCAAGUACUGGGUCACCCAUGAGGAUGACAAAGAGACCAGUUUUUCUCCAGACACCCCACUGUCAGGAAAGAGCCCGCUGGUGUUCAGUUCCUGUGUCCACCUCAGGGUGUCUCAGCAGUGUCCAAAUUCAAUCUAUUACGUAGACAAGUCUCUCUCCAUCCCCAUUGAGCCACCUCAAAAUGCCAGCCCCAAAAUGCACAGAUCCGUCCUGUCGCUCAACCUCAAUUGUAGUUCCCACAGAUUAACAGCAGAUGGAGUAGAUGGCCUAGUGAACAGAGAGCCAAUAAGCGGAGCCCUGAAGCAGGAGCUGGUGGAGGGAGACCAGGACCUCGUAGGCCAGCGCUGGAACCCAGGUUUACAAGAAAGUCACUUGAAGGAAACCCCAUCGUUGGGGCCGGUGCGUUUGGGGACCGGCGCUUGUCCAUGGAGUGGUUCUUUUCCAUUGGAAAACACAGAAUUGGCAAAUGUGGGAGCUAACCAAGUCACUGUAAGAAAAGGAGAAAAGGACCAUACAACUCACUGUCAUGCCAGCGGUCGUGCCAACAAACUGUCCAUUCACAUUCCUGGCUGGAGUUACAGGGCAGACUUAUUACAAGAAGGACAACAUAAGCAGCUAUCAGUGUUCCAAAGAUAAAUCCCACUUUAGUAGUUAAAGAGAUUGCUCAAGCUAAGCACUUCGUCCUCCUUAUUGAUGAUGAUUCCAGAAAUACACCACUGCAUUAUUGUAUGUUACCCCAGUUAAAGCACAUCCUCAUUUUU
This 2037-nucleotide small RNA is filed under the name Pongo abelii (Sumatran orangutan). RNAcentral's name for it is "processed transcript". The record is from RNAcentral. Lineage: Eukaryota; Metazoa; Chordata; Mammalia; Primates; Hominidae.